Molecule: transfer RNA, 69 nt
Filed under: Methanosarcina barkeri 227
Lineage: Archaea; Methanobacteriati; Methanobacteriota; Methanomicrobia; Methanosarcinales; Methanosarcinaceae
Description: tRNA-Thr (TGT) (tRNA-Thr-TGT-2-1)
Rfam family: tRNA (bases 7-67)
About the family: Transfer RNA (tRNA) molecules are approximately 80 nucleotides in length. Their secondary structure includes four short double-helical elements and three loops (D, anti-codon, and T loops).
Source: RNAcentral
GUCUCUUUGGCUCAGCCCCGUAGAGCGAGUGACUUGUAAUCACUAAGUCGCGUGUUCAAAUCACGCACU